AAGAUCGAAUACUCUCCAACCUGUUCCGGUAAAGAUGGGUCUGCAACACAUGAGACGUACAACUCCUUUUUUUUUGCGGAGGUCGCAGUUCCUCCAACAUCGUUGCCCGGACUCCCCCUGUUCAUCGGGGGGAGUCCACCGUCCCCUGGGACAGCGCGGCCUCCCACCGCCCCCGGGGUCCCAGGGGACCCAGUCCCCGAGGACAUGUCUUCGGGGAUGCGGUAUCCCCGCUGGAGGGGAUGCCACAUCCCGAGGGACAUGUCCUCGGGACUGGUCUUCGGGGACGCAAGUUCCCCCAGGGACACGUCCCCGGAGAUGCGGU
Molecule: unclassified non-coding RNA, 322 nt
Filed under: Athalia rosae (coleseed sawfly)
Lineage: Eukaryota; Metazoa; Arthropoda; Insecta; Hymenoptera; Athaliidae
Description: misc RNA ENSAEAG00005006198.1
Source: RNAcentral